Molecule: long non-coding RNA, 1125 nt
Organism: Aquila chrysaetos chrysaetos
Lineage: Eukaryota; Metazoa; Chordata; Aves; Accipitriformes; Accipitridae
Exons: 4
Source: RefSeq, a predicted model, not a curated record
AGGAAAAGAGAAGAGAAGAUUCAGGUGUUCUGCAACAGGAGAAAUUAUAAGUAGGGAAAGAUAUUGGGGGCUAUACAAGGAAAAGUGUGAUAAACAAGGCAGUAUGAUAAAAAUACUGCUUUCCAUAAAGGAAAACAAGUGUGGAUUCAGUGCCAGAUGAGGAAAUUCAAAUGGAAACUCAAGAGCCAGGAAGUGGAGAGACCAAGACAGUUUGUACAUGCUUGAAAUGAAGUAAGGACCUAGCAAGAAAACUUGAGCCAUCAACAUGGGUUGAAGCACGACAGUGGAUUAUUCUAUUGAAUAUUAACUCUGAAGAUGAUCUUUAUAGAGAAGAUUUUUCAAAGUAGCUGGUAUAGUGCUGUGUUUUUGAGUUUGGUAUGAGAAAAAUGUCCUGCCAGACCCCAGCCCUGGAGCAGCCGCCUUCUGCCCGGCUGUUCCCUGACGGCUUAGGGAUACACUAAGAGAGAGAAAACAAACAGACGGCUGUCAUUAAGGAUUGCCAAGGAAUCCAGGUGGAGUUAGUUUCUUCUACUGAAGAAAAAAUAUGAAAGAUGCCAUCUACCCAAACUUGUCUCUGCUCUGACUUUACUCCAGAUUGGAGGUGAAAAGCCAGAAAAGCUUUUACUGUUUUGUGAUAGAGGCAGACUUUACAUAAAUGUCACACAUUAUUUCCCCAAGUUUCCAAGCUGAGAUUUUUAGUCAUGUGCAAAAAAUCAAUCAGUGUAAGGUUCAUAUGCUACUCUCUCUUUUGUGGAGGAAUAAAAUGAGGAAAAAAGAUUGUAUACCAACAGAAGUCUUUAAUUUAAAAAAAUCUUGGCAUCAGUUGCUGAAUAGACAGCACUGAGCUUCUAAAUAUCUUAGCUAUCCCCAAAAGCAUGAACAUGUGAAGUGAAUGACCAUACCUAACUUAUUUAUACCCUAAUAUCCAAGAAACACAGUUGGAGAAAAUAUCAAAUUAAUAAUGAUCUAUUUCUUUUUUCACAUGCUUUUCAUAACGAGCCUUUUCUGCACAGGUGGCAACUUUGCUAUAGACUGUGCAUUAAUAUAAUCACAUCAAACAGAGACUGAAACUUUUAAAUAAAGAAAAUCAUGCUGUUGUUUUCUUUUUCCAGAAAUAUAACAUUC